RNAcentral lists this ribosomal RNA (593 nucleotides) under Staphylococcus pseudintermedius. RNAcentral describes it as "partial 23S ribosomal RNA". It matches the Rfam family "Bacterial large subunit ribosomal RNA", at positions 380 to 973 of the family's 2925-position model. Lineage: Bacteria; Bacillati; Bacillota; Bacilli; Caryophanales; Staphylococcaceae. The record is from RNAcentral.
CGAAAACGAAUUCUCUCUUGAGUGGAUCCUGAGUACGACGGAGCACGUGAAAUUCCGUCGGAAUCUGGGAGGACCAUCUCCUAAGGCUAAAUACUCUCUAGUGACCGAUAGUGAACCAGUACCGUGAGGGAAAGGUGAAAAGUACCCCGGAAGGGGAGUGAAAGAGAACUUGAAACCGUGUGCUUACAAGUAGUCAGAGCCCGUUAAUGGGUGAUGGCGUGCCUUUUGUAGAAUGAACCGGCGAGUUACGAUCUGAUGCAAGGUUAAGCAGAAAAUGUGGAGCCGUAGCGAAAGCGAGUCUGAAUAGGGCGAAUGAGUAUUUGGUCGUAGACCCGAAACCAGGUGAUCUACCCUUGGUCAGGUUGAAGUUCAGGUAACACUGAAUGGAGGACCGAACCGACUUACGUUGAAAAGUGAGCGGAUGAACUGAGGGUAGCGGAGAAAUUCCAAUCGAACUUGGAGAUAGCUGGUUCUCUCCGAAAUAGCUUUAGGGCUAGCCUCAAGUGAUGAUUAUUGGAGGUAGAGCACUGUUUGGACGAGGGGCCCCUCUCGGGUUACCGAAUUCAGACAAACUCCGAAUGCCAAAUAAUUUA